GAGUUGAUCAUGGCUCAGAUUGAACGCUGGCGGCAGGCCUAACACAUGCAAGUCGAGCGGAUGACGGGAGCUUGCUCCUUGAUUCAGCGGCGGACGGGUGAGUAAUGCCUAGGAAUCUGCCUGGUAGUGGGGGACAACGUUUCGAAAGGAACGCUAAUACCGCAUACGUCCUACGGGAGAAAGCAGGGGACCUUCGGGCCUUGCGCUAUCAGAUGAGCCUAGGUCGGAUUAGCUAGUUGGUGGGUAAUGGCUCACCAAGGCGACGAUCCGUAACUGGUCUGAGAGGAUGAUCAGUCACACUGGAACUGAGACACGGUCCAGACUCCUACGGGAGGCAGCAGUGGGGAAUAUUGGACAAUGGGCGAAAGCCUGAUCCAGCCAUGCCGCGUGUGUGAAGAAGGUCUCCGGA
RNAcentral lists this ribosomal RNA (409 nucleotides) under bacterium enrichment culture clone ALO1_GLFRUDD03F4WM7. Its description in RNAcentral is "bacterial SSU rRNA". It matches the Rfam family "Bacterial small subunit ribosomal RNA", at positions 9 to 422 of the family's 1533-position model. The record is from RNAcentral.